This 292-nucleotide ribosomal RNA is filed under the name uncultured bacterium. RNAcentral's name for it is "partial 16S ribosomal RNA". It matches the Rfam family "Bacterial small subunit ribosomal RNA", at positions 505 to 796 of the family's 1533-position model. The record is from RNAcentral.
GUGUCAGCAGCCGCGGUAAUACGUAGGUGGCAAGCGUUGUCCGGAUUUACUGGGCGUAAAGGGCUUGUAGGCGGUUCGUUAAGUCCGGUGUGAAAUCUCCCGGCUCAACUGGGAGGGGCCAUUGGAUACUGGCGGACUAGAGGCGGGUAGAGGAAAGCAGAAUUCCCGGUGUAGCGGUGAAAUGCGUAGAUAUCGGGAGGAAUACCAGUGGCGAAGGCGGCUUUCUGGACCUGUCCUGACGCUGAGGAGCGAAAGCGUGGGGAGCAAACCGGAUUAGAAACCCCCGUAGUCC